RNAcentral lists this ribosomal RNA (498 nucleotides) under marine sediment bacterium ISA-2606. RNAcentral's name for it is "bacterial SSU rRNA". It matches the Rfam family "Bacterial small subunit ribosomal RNA", at positions 44 to 555 of the family's 1533-position model. The record is from RNAcentral.
GUGCUUAACACAUGCAAGUCGAACGAUGAAGCCCAGCUUGCUGGGUGGAUUAGUGGCGAACGGGUGAGUAACACGUGAGUAACCUGCCCCCGACUCUGGGAUAAGCCCGGGAAACUGGGUCUAAUACCGGAUAUGACCUCGCACCGCAUGGUGCGGGGUGGAAAGAUUUAUCGGUGGGGGAUGGACUCGCGGCCUAUCAUCUUGUUGGUGAGGUAAUGGCUCACCAAGGCGACAACGGGUAGCCGGCCUGAGAGGGUGACCGGCCACACUGGGACUGAGACACGGCCCACACUCCUACGGGAGGCAGCAGUGGGGAAUAUUGCACAAUGGGCGAAAGCCUGAUGCAGCGACGCCGCGUGAGGGAUGACGGCCUUCUGGUUGUAAACCUCUUUCAGUAGGGAAGAAACGAAAGUGACGGUACCUGCAGAAGAAGCGCCGGCUAACUACGUGCCAGCAGCCGCGGUAAUACGUAGGGCGCAAGCGUUAUCCGGAUUUAUU